This 253-nucleotide ribosomal RNA is filed under the name uncultured bacterium. RNAcentral describes it as "partial 16S ribosomal RNA". It matches the Rfam family "Bacterial small subunit ribosomal RNA", at positions 524 to 776 of the family's 1533-position model. The record is from RNAcentral.
UACGGAGGGUGCAAGCGUUAUCCGGAUUCACUGGGCUUAAAGGGUGCGUAGGCGGGUCUGUAAGUCAGGGGUGAAAUCUCCGAGCUUAACUCGGAAACUGCCAUUGAUACUAUAGGUCUUGAAUUAUCUGGAGGUAAGCGGAAUAUGUCAUGUAGCGGUGAAAUGCUUAGAUAUGACAUAGAACACCAAUUGCGAAGGCAGCUUACUACGGAUCGAUUGACACUGAGGCACGAAAGCGUGGGGAUCAAACAGG